CUAACGAGGAUUGGCACGGAUGGUUUUCAGUGCAGUACCUCUUUUAACCAUUACAGCAACGCCUAUGUGACACGGCGCUGUUCUGUUUCGGUUACACCGCCCAUCACCAUCGUCGAUCAUACCACUGAAUUGUCAAACUUGGUACACAACAAACGGAGGAGGGAGUAGGAAGAAGACGUCUUAGAGAUGAAGAAAAACUUUUCAAAGUGGUUGAAAGACAGUAGUAAUCAUUGUGUUUGAAAGUUGUACCAGCUCAACCCUUGUCAAUCUAAGCCUUGUCUGGGCCUCCAUGACCUUAUGAUGAUUCACCAGGGAGGUGCUGAAGAAAGAGUACAAACACCAACAAGAUGAAAAGCUCCACAGCUUCUGGGAUGGCCUUGCAAGUGUGGCACAACACCAGGAUAAGUUCAUGAGCAUAACAAGCACAUAGAUAGCUUCAGGGUGGAGCCUUCUGAAAUAUGCUUGUACACCUCCAGUGGACCCACUCAUGACAGCUGCACCAUCAUAUGUUUGUGCUACACACAUAAGCACUGCAAGACCAUUGUUUUGAAUCUGCUGCUGCAGCUCAUUUGCGAUGGACUGGGCAUCAAAUGAUUUUAUCUCUGCAAGUGCUAGGAAACGUUUCUUCACUGCCGCCUCUGACACAAACAGCUAACUGUUCUGAUUUUUCAUCCCUUGCCUCAUCUGCCAUGAUGGCAUAGAUUUUGGACUUUGUCAUUUCAGAUACAAUGACACUAGUAACUUCCUGAGCACAACAGUCAAUCAUGUCAUUCUGGGAUGUUGCUGAGAUAUACUGAGCAUUUGAUGGAGGGUGAUGUUUUUGAAGAAAAGGAUUCAAUUCCUUCAAAAGCUCCAUCCAAGCAAGACAAUUCCCUCUGUUUGUGCUGUCUCUACCUUCAUCAUGGCCACGAGAAGGAAGUCCCUGUCUCCCUAACAUAGAAGUGACUGCAACAAUUUGCCUGAGAUACUCUCUUCUCUCAAUUAUCUUACUUGCCUUUGCAGAUGCUAUCAUCUGUGCAACAUUUCCCUGAAUGCUAGUUGCCUGGUAGCUUUUCCAUGCAACAACACUGUCCUUAUGUGUUUGUGCUAUCUCAUGUUUGCCAAAUAUGACUAAAGCUUUCUUCCACUUCUUGGAACCACUACUCACCAAACUAUCAUGUUUGAGAUUUUUGCCAAACACUCUAAAUGGGAAGCAGAAAGCUGUAUUCUGGUAGACUGAAUAUUCUCACCAGUUGUGGUGAAAUGCUCGCUUCUGUGUACCAAAACUAUGGAGUGGGUAGCUCUUCAGCUUCACCUGUCUGGGCCCUGAGUCUUUGUCACCUAAAUCAAACCCUGUAUUGGAGUGAGCUUCUGCUGGUUCAUCAUUUUCCCUCUCCUGGUCUAUUUGUUUUCCUUCUCUCUCUGCAAUAACUUGAUCUUGUUCAAUGGUUACAAUUAAUUGGAAUGUAUGAACCUGACUUUUGUAAAGAGCCUUGAGACGACAUGUGUUGUGAAUUGGCGCUAUAUAAAUAAACUGAAUUGAAAUGAA
Long non-coding RNA from Girardinichthys multiradiatus, 1528 nucleotides. RefSeq lists it as uncharacterized. NCBI's taxonomy places the organism in Eukaryota, Metazoa, Chordata, Actinopteri, Cyprinodontiformes, Goodeidae. The transcript is spliced from 2 exons. The record is from RefSeq and is a predicted model, not a curated record.